GUGAUGGUCUCUUUCUUCUUGCACCUAAUAGUUAUGGCCAACAAUAAUUGUUGCAUUUGGUGACUCAAAAAUUGUCUCUUUCUCUUUGUUCCGAAUCUUUUACUCAUAUCAUAUGUACACGCUUAUGCAUUAUAUUACUCCAAUCUAUUAAUUAAAAUGCAUGAUAACAUAAAAAGAAAAAGAUCCCAAUCUUAAUCUUAAUUAAUUAGGUAAUCAAUUUGACUAAUCAUGUGUUGUAUCUGCCCGUCUAAGAGCAAACUCCCAACGCAAUUUUUAUUAUAAAAAAGACAAUAAUGAUGUUCUGGUUAAUUACCAAACAAGGGCACACAAAUUAACUGUAAAUUUUAAGCUCGAUCGAGCUGUUAUUUAGAGGAAUAAUGAAUCGAAUAUAUGAUUAGGAACUGAGUUGUUUGUUUAAGUUCAGCAAUACACCAGACAUGAUCAACUGUUUCAUGCAUGCAUCACUCACAAAGAAGAAGAUGAUUCAAAGUUAGAAGGAAGCCUACAACCUGUCACUCUCACACCAACCA
RNAcentral lists this long non-coding RNA (530 nucleotides) under Malus domestica (apple). Its description in RNAcentral is "long non-coding RNA (MDOM_LNC019238)". Lineage: Eukaryota; Viridiplantae; Streptophyta; Magnoliopsida; Rosales; Rosaceae. The record is from RNAcentral.